GCUGGUUACCGACGUGGUGGACUGUUUCAGAAUAUGGCGGUGUUAGGCCACAGGCCAGAUCCUGUGUGUUGCCCAGCUUCCAGCCUCCUAAGAUUGAUGACUGGGAAAUCUCGGGAUCCUGACUUUGCAUUGUGACCAGGUUUGGAGAGGUGACCUAGGACUCGAAGUGUUGCUGAGUGGCUCUGAGGUUCGCUGGCUGGAGUGGAAGACUGUGAUAGGCAGCAUUCACGCUAUGGAAACAAGUCCCUCACCCGGACCGGGUUGUGUCAGCUCUACACAGUCUGGAUCCUAAGAGGUGACGUAGGACUUUAAUUGUGUGGCUCUGAGGUUCGCUGGCUGGGAUGGAAGGCUGGUAUUGCACAGCUGUGGACAACACGGAAACAGGCCCUUCACUCUGACUGGGUUGUGUCAGCUCCAUGCAAUCUGAUUGGUUUUACAGGUUCCCAGAGGUGGCCUCGGACUCAGAUUACGUGGCUCUGAGGUUUGCUGGCUGGGUUGGAAGACUCGUGUUACACAGCUGUGGGCAGGCAACAUUCACGCGAUGGAAACAGACUCCUCACCCUGACUGGAUUGUGUCAGCUCCACACAAUCUGGAUCCUAAGAGGUGACGUAGGACUUUAAUUGUGUGGCUCUGAGGUUUGCUGGCUGGGAUGGAAGGCUGGUGUUAUACAUUUGUGGACUGACAGCAUGCUAUUCCUGAUGAAGGGCUUAUGCUCGAAACGUCGAAUUCUCUAUUCCUGAGAUGCUGCCUGGCUUGCUGUGCUUUGACCAGCAACACAUUUGCAGCAUGGAAACUGGCCCCUCAACCUGAUUGGGUUGUGUUGGUUCCAUGCAAUCUGAUUGGGUUCGGAGACUUGACUGAAAUGCCUCAUCGUUGAGGUUGCAGGGAGCCAGGGCAGGGAUGCGAUCUUCCUGUGACUACGGCACAAGUGGGAGAAAAUGUGGAUAAUUUUCUUUUGUGAAGCUUUCAUCGCCUGAAGCUGACCAGUCAGCUUGUGCAGUCCUGCCACUUGGUUGAUGUUUUUUACUUGAAGGGUUAAGCUGUAUUUGUGUUGAGUGCUGCAAAGUUUUCUUUGUCUGGGGUGGGGGGGUGGAAUCUGUGCUGGUAAUAAAGUAAGCCUGAUGGUCCUGUCAUUGGUAUUCAAAGUUGCAUGCUUUCCUUUACCCAGUGUGGUUAGUGUCAUUCCCUCAGCACAUUUUGGAAUCAUAAAAUCCCUGUAGUGUGAAAGCAAGCCAUCUGUCCCAUUUGAGCUGAAAAUGUGUUGCUGGAAA
Hemiscyllium ocellatum (epaulette shark) is the source of this 1272-nucleotide long non-coding RNA. RefSeq lists it as uncharacterized. NCBI's taxonomy places the organism in Eukaryota, Metazoa, Chordata, Chondrichthyes, Orectolobiformes, Hemiscylliidae. The record is from RefSeq and is a predicted model, not a curated record. The transcript has 12 exons.